UCAUGAGAGUGUGAGAGUGGUCAGAUCACGUCGGACUUAGGGAUAGUGGUGGAUUGGAUGAGAAUCGUAGAGGUGAAAUUCUUGGAUUGACUCAAGACCGACUAGGCCGAAAGCAUUUGCCAAGGAUGUUUCAUUAAUCAGGACGAAGGUUAGGGGAUCAAAAACGAUCAGAUACCGUUGUAGUCUUAACAGUAAACUAUGCCGACUAGGGAUCGGGUGAACCUCACAUAUUAUGGUCGCUCGCACCUUACGAGAAUCAAGUCUUUGGGUCUGGGGGAGUAUGACUCAGCUGAGACUCAAGUAUUGACGUAGCUACCUGUGUGAGCUGCGUAUUUGACUCCCCCGUAAUCCCG
Molecule: ribosomal RNA, 353 nt
Filed under: Russula virescens
Lineage: Eukaryota; Fungi; Basidiomycota; Agaricomycetes; Russulales; Russulaceae
Description: bacterial SSU rRNA
Rfam family: Eukaryotic small subunit ribosomal RNA
Source: RNAcentral